UACGUAGGGGGCGAGCGUUGUCCGGAUUCAUUGGGCGUAAAGAGCUCGUAGGCGGCUUGGCAAGUCGGAUGUGAAAACUCCAGGCUCAACCUGGAGCCGCCAUUCGAUACUGCUAUGGCUAGAGUCCGGUAGGGGAGUGUGGAAUUCCCGGUGUAGCGGUGAAAUGCGCAGAUAUCGGGAGGAACACCGAUGGCGAAGGCAGCACUCUGGGCCGGUACUGACGCUGAGGAGCGAAAGCGUGGGGAGCGAACAGGAUUAGAUACCCUGGUAGUCCACGCCGUAAACGUUGGGCACUAGGUGUGGGGCCUUAUCAACGGGUUCCGUGCCGCAGCUAACGCAAUAAGUGCCCCGCCUGGGGAGUACGGCCGCAAGGCUAAA
Molecule: ribosomal RNA, 378 nt
Filed under: uncultured bacterium
Lineage: Bacteria
Description: bacterial SSU rRNA
Rfam family: Bacterial small subunit ribosomal RNA
Source: RNAcentral